UGGGUGUCCCCAAANGAUAGUCCCAUNGGUGCACGACCUANUGCUUCCGCGCUGACGCGUGCCGUCGCAGCAUCUUUGUCGCNCGCGNUGUNCGNCGCCGCNAUGUCGCUCGCAGCGCCAUACUUGCAUCGCUUNGGUGCGCAGUGGACGUGCCCGUCCUAGUCGCUGGCAUAUGCCANAGGGNCAUCUGCCUGCCUANUGCGUGCUAGCCNGCCCAGCGUGCCGNGCGGUUGAUGCUNUCNGUACGCACAGCCUGCACAUGAGCNGUGCGCGUGCUGGCCGCNACAAANCCUGCGCCNUGGCGCGNACGCGAAUGUUCUCUCUGCAUGUACNUCCCUGCUGCUGCCUGUGCGCGCGUNCCGNUACNNGCUCCUGAAGNUGUCGUNUGCNUGCCUGNUCNGCGUGCNUGUCCUGCCGCGUGUGUUGCUGUUGGGUGAACCUUUACUCGACUACUCGACGAAUGCAUNNAGAUNGGGUUAAUCGAUCAUGGGCUCAGAGAUCGAACGCUGGUCGNANANGCCUAAUACAUGCAAGUCGAGCGAACAGAGAAGGAGCUUGCUCCUAUCGACGUUAGCGGCGGACGGGUGAGUAACACGUAGGUGCAACCUAACCUAUAAUAGUUUUGGGAUAAACUCCGGGAAAACCGGGGCUAAAUAUACCGAAUAAUACUAAUUUCACUUACANUUGGUAGAAAUAACUUGAAAGACGGUUUCGUGCUGUCUGCUAUAAAGAUGGGCCCGUGGCGCAUUAAGCUAGUAUAGGUGGAUGGGGUAAACUGGGCUCAACCAAAGGCUGACGNAAUAGGCAUAGGUAUGUUCGUUCUAUGCUACUGUUAGGUACGUUGAGGAAUAGUAUAGGGGUAUAAAAGGUUUCCCCUGUCNAACCGAAGGCCGCAAACACCNUUUGUAAUUCUUUUAAGGAUUUUGCGCCACUUCCAAUUUUAAGAACGUAUUCGCGGGCACGUACCUAAAAGGGGCUAUGAACUUAGGACUCGGUGUUAGANCAAAACAAGCCCUGGGAAGCGCAAACGAGUUGGCGCGCGGACUUGCACCGGUUACAAGAACAAUUCCCAACUACCAUUUGCGCCCCUUAUAAUUUGCACCCCUAGGGGCCUAAACAAACACGAGUAGCCUCAACCAAAGUUAGGGAGGGNAGCCGGGGAAAUUCAACCCGAAACACCCCGNGGUUCUAGGCGCCACCAACAAACCCUUACCCGCCCAGACAANGACAAAGCAGGAGGGAACGGCCUUACAANAANUACCCCCCGAGCAAUAACACANCAGGCUCACCAGCAUCACCCUUCCACAAGGGCGUAUAUCCCGGGGGGGAAAAUUUAGGGGUAAAGGCGAAGGCCAUUACGGCCNAAGACNUAUNCACAGCACCCACUNCAAACCAAAUACAGCAACAACAGCCCCGCGGAGAANNAAUUACNCAGCCAUCAACAGGCAUCAACAAAUCACCCGGCCCGGGGGGAANAUACACCAAGCGCCACANUAGAACNCCCGNCCACGGGCGCAUCGCGCACACACACCAACCCGCNCUACCCCCCCCCGNAGGGCGGGGACGCCCCACNCAUAGACGCAACAAACAGACACCCGNAGC
RNAcentral lists this ribosomal RNA (1602 nucleotides) under uncultured bacterium. RNAcentral's name for it is "partial 16S ribosomal RNA". The record is from RNAcentral.